UACGGAGACUGCAAGCGUUAUUCGGAUUCACUGGGCGUAAAGGGUGCGCAGGCGGCCAGGUGUGUUAGGCGUGAAAGCCCGGGGCUUAACCCCGGAAUUGCACCUAAAACUACUUGGCUAGAGCAUUGGAGAGGGUAGCGGAAUUCACGGUGUAGCAGUGAAAUGCGUAGAUAUCGUGAGGAACACCAGAGGCGAAAGGCGGCUACCUGGACAAGUUGCUGACGCUCAGGCACGAAAGCGUGGGGAGCAAAAGGGUUAGAA
RNAcentral lists this ribosomal RNA (261 nucleotides) under uncultured bacterium. RNAcentral describes it as "partial 16S ribosomal RNA". It matches the Rfam family "Bacterial small subunit ribosomal RNA", at positions 524 to 783 of the family's 1533-position model. The record is from RNAcentral.